UCGAGAAUCUUUCGCAAUGGGGGAAACCCUGACGAAGCGACGCCGCGUGCGGGAAGAAGGCCUUCGGGUUGUAAACCGCUUUGAGCAGGGGCGAACGCCUUGAUGUGAACAGCAUCGGAGGCAUGACGGUACCUGCAGAACAAGCCACGGCUAACUCUGUGCCAGCAGCCGCGGUAAGACAGAGGUGGCAAGCGUUGUUCGGAUUUACUGGGCGUAAAGGGGGUCUAGGUGGUUCGGUAUGUCUUCCGUGAAAUCCCGGAGCUUAACUCCGGAACUGCGGGGGAAACUGCCGAACUUGAGCGCAUGAUACGUAAACGGAAUACUGGGUGUAGCGGUGAAAUGCGUAGAUAUCCAGUAGAACACCUGCGGCGAAAGCGGUUUACGAGCGUGUUGCUGACACUGAAGCCCGAAAGUGUGGGGAUCAAACA
This 428-nucleotide ribosomal RNA is filed under the name uncultured prokaryote. Its description in RNAcentral is "bacterial SSU rRNA". It matches the Rfam family "Bacterial small subunit ribosomal RNA", at positions 355 to 774 of the family's 1533-position model. The record is from RNAcentral.